Molecule: ribosomal RNA, 1345 nt
Filed under: uncultured bacterium
Lineage: Bacteria
Description: bacterial SSU rRNA
Rfam family: Bacterial small subunit ribosomal RNA
Source: RNAcentral
GACGAACGCUGGCGGCGUGCUUAACACAUGCAAGUCGAACGAUGAAGCGGUGCUUGCACCGUGGAUUAGUGGCGAACGGGUGAGUAAUACGUGAGUGACCUACCUUUGACUCUGGGAUAAGCCUGGGAAACUGGGUCUAAUACCGGAUACGACCAAUCUCUGCAUGGGGUGUUGGUGGAAAGCGUUAUGGAGUGGUUUUAGAUGGGCUCACGGCCUAUCAGCUUGUUGGUGAGGUAAUGGCUUACCAAGGCGACGACGGGUAGCCGGCCUGAGAGGGUGACCGGUCACACUGGGACUGAGACACGGCCCAGACUCCUACGGGAGGCAGCAGUGGGGAAUAUUGCACAAUGGGCGCAAGCCUGAUGCAGCGACGCCGCGUGAGGGAUGACGGCCUUCGGGUUGUAAACCUCUGUUAGCAUCGAAGAAGCGAAAGUGACGGUAGGUGCAGAGAAAGCGCCGGCUAACUACGUGCCAGCAGCCGCGGUAAUACGUAGGGCGCGAGCGUUGUCCGGAAUUUAUUGGGCGUAAGAGCUUGNAGGCGGUUGGUCGCGUCUGCUGUGAAGGCCGGGGCUUAACUCCGGUUUUGCAGUGGGUACGGGCUAACUAGAGUGCAGUAGGGGAGACUGGAAUUCCUGGUGUAGCGGUGGAAUGCACAGAUAUCAGGAGGAACACCGAUGGCGAAGGCAGGUCUCUGGGCUGUAACUGACGCUGAGAAGCGAAAGCAUGGGGAGCGAACAGGAUUAGAUACCCUGGUAGUCCAUGCCGUAAACGUUGGGCACUAGGUGUGGGGGACAUUCCACGUUUUCCGCGCCGUAGCUAACGCAUUAAGUGCCCCGCCUGGGGAGUACGGCCGCAAGGCUAAAACUCAAAGGAAUUGACGGGGGCCCGCACAAGCGGCGGAGCAUGCGGAUUAAUUCGAUGCAACGCGAAGAACCUUACCAAGGCUUGACAUGCAUUAGAUCGCGUCAGAGAUGGCGUUUCCCUUCGGGGCUGGUGUACAGGUGGUGCAUGGUUGUCGUCAGCUCGUGUCGUGAGAUGUUGGGUUAAGUCCCGCAACGAGCGCAACCCUCGUUCUAUGUUGCCAGCGGUUCGGCCGGGGACUCAUAGGAGACUGCCGGGGUCAACUCGGAGGAAGGUGGGGAUGACGUCAAAUCAUCAUGCCCCUUAUGUCUUGGGCUUCACGCAUGCUACAAUGGCCGGUACAGAGGGUUGCGAUACUGUGAGGUGGAGCUAAUCCCUUAAAGCCGGUCUCAGUUCGGAUUGGGGUCUGCAACUCGACCCCAUGAAGUCGGAGUCGCUAGUAAUCGCAGAUCAGCAACGCUGCGGUGAAUACGUUCCCGGGCCU